GACGGAGGGUGCUAGCGUUGUUCGGAAUCACUGGGCGUAAAGGGCGCGUAGGCGGCCUGCCGAGUCGGGUGUGAAAGCCCGGGGCUCAACCCCGGAACGGCACCCGAUACUGGCGGGCUCGAGACCGGGAGAGGAGGGUGGAAUACCCAGUGUAGAGGUGAAAUUCGUAGAUAUUGGGUGGAACACCGGUGGCGAAAGCGGCUCUCUGGCCCGGUUCUGACGCUGAGGCGCGAAAGCGUGGGGAUCAAACAGG
RNAcentral lists this ribosomal RNA (253 nucleotides) under uncultured bacterium. Its description in RNAcentral is "partial 16S ribosomal RNA". It matches the Rfam family "Bacterial small subunit ribosomal RNA", at positions 524 to 776 of the family's 1533-position model. The record is from RNAcentral.